Long non-coding RNA from Thamnophis elegans (Western terrestrial garter snake), 135 nucleotides. RefSeq lists it as uncharacterized. The record is from RefSeq and is a predicted model, not a curated record. The transcript has 3 exons. Lineage: Eukaryota; Metazoa; Chordata; Lepidosauria; Squamata; Natricidae.
UGGCAUCCUGUAAAGGGUCUACUUCUUCAGCCCUGGAACCUCUAACCUGCCUCUUGAAACAAGCCAAGUCCAAAAUUUCUUCUUUGGGAUCUCAGCAGGGAUGUCCAGAAGACAACAAAGAGAGUGACACGGGUA